This 351-nucleotide RNase P RNA is filed under the name chicken gut metagenome. Its description in RNAcentral is "Bacterial RNase P class A". It matches the Rfam family "Bacterial RNase P class A". Rfam says of the family: Ribonuclease P (RNase P) is a ubiquitous endoribonuclease, found in archaea, bacteria and eukarya as well as chloroplasts and mitochondria. Its best characterised activity is the generation of mature 5'-ends of tRNAs by cleaving the 5'-leader elements of precursor-tRNAs. The record is from RNAcentral.
UGAAUAGUCGCGUAUAGCAGGGUCGAAAGACAGCGUACGAGGAAAGUCCGGGCUCCAUAGAGCAGGGAUGCUAGAUAACGUCUAGUGAGGGUAACCUUAAGGAAAGUGCAACAGAAAAGAACCGCCUCUUUUGGGAGGUAAGGGUGAAAAGGUGAGGUAAGAGCUCACCGCUUCUUUUGGUGACAAGAGAAGGCUAUGUAAACCCCAUCCGGAGCAACACCGUGAUAAAAAAGAAAAUAAGUUGCUCGCUUUUUUCUUUUUCGUUUAUUAUGGUGGCUUUGAGCCCUAUAGUGAUAUAGGGAGUAGAUAAAUGACUAUUCAUGACAGAACCCGGCUUAUAGAUUUACUUCU